Molecule: unclassified non-coding RNA, 347 nt
Filed under: soil metagenome
Description: partial contains 5.8S ribosomal RNA, internal transcribed spacer 2, and large subunit ribosomal RNA
Rfam family: 5.8S ribosomal RNA (bases 1-128)
Source: RNAcentral
GAUGAAGAACGUAGCGAAAUGCGAUAAGUAAUGUGAAUUGCAGAAUUGCAGAAUUCAGUGAAUCAUCGAGUCUUUGAACGCACAUUGCGCCCCCUGGUAUUCCGGGGGGCAUGCCUGUCCGAGCGUCAUUGCUGCCCUCAAGCACGGCUUGUGUGUUGGGCUCCGUCCCCCCGGGGACGGGCCCGAAAGGCAGCGGCGGCACCGAGUCCGGUCCUCGAGCGUAUGGGGCUUUGUCACCCGCUCUGUAGGCCCGGCCGGCGCCAGCCGACAACCCAUCAUCCUUUUCAGGUUGACCUCGGAUCAGGUAGGGAUACCCGCUGAACUUAAGCAUAUCAAUAAGCGGAGGA